ACGUCCACUGCUAAUGGUGAAAAGACAUCAAGUAAUAUUCUUAGCCAAUAUUAAGAUUCUAAGAUAUUUUUAAAAAGAAGUAUGUAAAUAUACUUUCAGAGCAUCGUCUAUAUGAUUGUUCCAUCAAUCUUCAAGAAAAAACUCAACUACCAUUUGGACCAAUCUAUAGCCUAUCACAAAAUGAGUUAGCUGUGCUCAAAGAGUACAUUGAUGAC
This 215-nucleotide long non-coding RNA is filed under the name Physcomitrium patens. RNAcentral describes it as "long non-coding RNA (PPAT_LNC011207)". Lineage: Eukaryota; Viridiplantae; Streptophyta; Bryopsida; Funariales; Funariaceae. The record is from RNAcentral.